CCUUGUACACACCGCCCGUCACACCAUGGGAGCGGGUCCUGCCAGAAGUAGUUAGCCUAACCGCAAGGAGGGCGAUUACCACGGCAGGGUUCGUGACUGGGGUG
This 104-nucleotide ribosomal RNA is filed under the name uncultured bacterium. RNAcentral describes it as "partial 16S ribosomal RNA". It matches the Rfam family "Bacterial small subunit ribosomal RNA", at positions 1379 to 1482 of the family's 1533-position model. The record is from RNAcentral.